CUCUCUCCGAGAUACAUUGGCUCCAUGUAAAUCACUUUUUCAUACUUGGCAUCAAAUUUCACCCUAUAAAUAGUUCUCCCAUUCAAAGAUGUGAUUAAAAAAUUAUUAAUCCAAUAUUCUGAAAAAUUAUUUGAAAUUUUCUCAAUCUCCGAAAUUCCAAUUGACGGCACAAAUGAAAAAAUUGGCUCCUCAAAAUUAUUAUCUAAAUGGGAUUUAGAUAGCUCAUAUUUUGGUAUUCUUGAUUUUUCCUUAUCUUUUUUAAAUUUAUACAACUCACCAUAUGAAGAUAUUGGAUAACCAUAAUUCUUACCAAACCUAAUAAAACUCCGAAUGCUAAACAUUGUUCCUCAGCAGACAGACUGUGGGUGCUAAGGUCCAUGGUCGAGAGGGAAAGAGCCCAGACCACCAGAUAAGGUCCCCAAAUUAUGAUUAAGUGUGAAAGGAUGUGGAAAUUCCUAAACAGCCGGGAGGUUGGCUUAGAAGCAGCCAUCCUUUAAAGAUAGCGUAACAGCUCACCGGUCUAAUAGAGUUUCUGCGCCGAAGAUGUAACGGGGCUAAAAUCAUAUACCGAAUCUGUGGAUUUGUAAUUUUUUCGAAAAUUAUAACUGGUAGCGGAACGUUCUGUAAGCCUGUGAAGGGAUACCCGUGAGGGAUCCUGGAGGUAUCAGAAGUGCGAAUGCUGACAUAAGUAACGAUAAAAGAAGUGAAAAACUUCUUCGCCGAAAAUCCAAGGGUUUCUGCGCAAGGUUAAUCCGCGCAGAGUUAGUCGGCACCUAAGGCGAGGGCGAAAGCCGUAGUCGAUGGAAAUAAGGUUAAUAUUCCUUAACCAGAUGGUAGUGACGAAUCUUGUAAGUUGUGAGUUCUUAAUGGAUUGAACUUGCCGCGAAAAGGUUCCAAGAAAUAGCUCCAUCAUUAGACCGUACCCUAAACCGACACAGGUGGAUUAAUAGAGUAUAUUUAGGCGCUUGAGAGAAUGAUGUUGAAGGAACUCGGCAAAAUGCUUCCGUAACUUCGGAAUAAGGAAGACCUUUUUUAAGGCAACUUUUAAAAGGUGGCACAAGUCAGGGAGAAGCGACUGUUUAUCAAAAACACAGGGCUCUGCUAACACGUAAGUGGAUGUAUAGGGUCUGACGCCUGCCCGGUGCUGGAAGGUUAAUGCGAUGGGUGCAAGCUCAUUUCUGAAGCCCCAGUAAACGGCGGCCGUAACUAUAACGGUCCUAAGGUAGCGAAAUUCCUUGUCGGGUAAGUUCCGACCUGCAUGAAUGGCGUAACGAUUUCUCCGCUGUCUCCAACAUCAACUCAGUGAAAUUGAAUUCUCCGUGAAGAUGCGGAGUUCGCGUAGUUAGACGGAAAGACCCCGUGCACCUUUACUGCAACUUUACAUUGGUGUUAGGAAAAAACAUAUUUAGCAUAGGAGGGAGACAUUGAAACAAGAGCGUCAGCUUUUGUGGAGUCACCAGUGAAAUACCUCUUUUGUUUUUCUUGAUAUCUAACUGAUUGCCGUCAUCCGGCAUCAAGACAUUGUAUGGUGGGUAGUUUGACUGGGGCGGUCGCCUCCCAAAUAGUAACGGAGGCGUGCGAAGGUAGGCUCAGAACGGUCAGAAAUCGUUCGUAGAGUGCAAUGGCAUAAGCCUGCCUGACUGUGAGACUGACAAGUCGAGCAGAGACGAAAGUCGGUCAUAGUGAUCCGGUGGUUCUGAGUGGAAGGGCCAUCGCUCAACGGAUAAAAGGUACGCCGGGGAUAACAGGCUGAUACUGCCCAAGAGCUCAUAUCGACGGCAGUGUUUGGCACCUCGAUGUCGGCUCAUCACAUCCUGGGGCUGGAGCAGGUCCCAAGGGUUUGGCUGUUCGCCAAUUAAAGUGGUACGUGAGCUGGGUUCAGAACGUCGUGAGACAGUUCGGUCCCUAUCUGCUAUGCGUGUAGAAGAAUUGAGAGGAGUUGACCCUAGUACGAGAGGACCGGGUUGAACAUACCACUGGUGGACCGGUUGUAGCGCCAGCUGCAGUGCCGGGUAGCUAAGUAUGGACGAGAUAACUGCUGAAAGCAUCUAAGCGGGAAACUCACCUCAAAACUAGUUCUUCCCAUAGAGCCGUGGUAGACCACCACGUUGAUAGGCUGGGUGUGGAAGCGCAGUAAUGCGUGCAGCUUACCAGUACUAAUAGCUCAAUCGGCUUGAUUUA
Molecule: ribosomal RNA, 2181 nt
Filed under: Candidatus Pelagibacter sp.
Lineage: Bacteria; Pseudomonadati; Pseudomonadota; Alphaproteobacteria; Candidatus Pelagibacterales; Candidatus Pelagibacteraceae
Description: partial 23S ribosomal RNA
Rfam family: Bacterial large subunit ribosomal RNA
Source: RNAcentral